GGUUAAUUUGCUAAUUUACCAUCCUGACCCAUGCAGAUACUGGAAAACAGCCUUUAGGUGGACACUAGUGGACACUAUGCAUUAAAGGGUUAAUGCAAUUUUAUGAAAUAAAAAAUUAAUCAUAAUGGUGUGUAUGUGUGUGUGUGUCCACGUGUGUGGGUACGCCUUCAGUGUGCAUUAAGAACGUGGAAAUGUGAAAAAGACUUGUUUUGACAAUGCUGUGUUUUCUUUCUUUCUUUAUUAUACAGAGAAUGGUGUGAAGGACCCGCGAAUCGAUCGUGCCAUUGGAGUUUGUAAAAAGGCAGUUGCUGCCUUUUCCUAUAGUUGGAUAAAAAGAAGAGAGAUGGGUGAAGUACAGGCUGAGCUUGGUCUACCCACUCAUCAGCUGGUAACAGAGUCCCCGACAAGAUGGGGUUCACGUCAAAAAAUGAUUGAGAGAUUUCUUGAACAGGAGAAGGCCAUAGUUCGUGUCCUGGGGUCCGACAAGAAAAGCCGUCAUCUUGUGCCCACUUGGCAAGAUAUUGAGGUUUUAGAGUCUGUAAAUAAAGCUGUCAAACCACUCCAAGAAUUUACAGACGCCCUGUCCGGGGAGGCUUAUGUCAGUGUCUCCUACAUUAAACCGGUGCUGCAUUUGUUCAAAACAAAUCUCCUACAGCCAGUGGAGGAGGACACUGAACUCACUAAGACAAUAAAAAUAAACAUAAUGCGGUACCUUGAUGACAAAUACAGUGACCCUGUGAAGAAUGAACUUUUGGAUAUGUCCUCACUGAUGGACCCCAGGUUCCGUACCACCUACAUUGACCCAGACAAGGUGGAACAGGUCAAGAAAAGAGCCGUCACUGAGCUGAUGUCUCUGCCUGCUGAGAAAAUCAAACCACAGCAGCCUGGUCCUGCUGUGCAUGUGUGCCAAAGAGAAGCACAGUCUCCACCCAAUAAGAAAAUGGCUUUAGCUGCUUUCUUCAAGAAGAAAGUGCCAGAACCAGAGCCAUCUUCUCACCAAUCAGAGGCACUGAAAGUAGAGACAGAACUGGCAACCUACCUACUGACCCCUGAGGUAGACCCAGACACUGAACCACUUCCGUGGUGGAAGCGUCACGAACCAAACUUCCCA
Molecule: long non-coding RNA, 1111 nt
Filed under: Gouania willdenowi (blunt-snouted clingfish)
Lineage: Eukaryota; Metazoa; Chordata; Actinopteri; Blenniiformes; Gobiesocidae
Description: lncRNA (ENSGWIG00000006864.1)
Source: RNAcentral